ACUUCCUCUUCCAAGCAGAGCUGCCCAAGGGAAGGUGAGAUUGGAUCAAUGUCCAGAGCUGAAAGGGGUCUGUGCCUUGGAGGAAGCCAGAUGUCCUAAGAAAUGAGAAUGAGGAGAAGCACAUCCUAGGCAUGGGACAACUAGUAAAGAGACCCCGAGGAAGGAGACGCCAAGUUUGAGGCAUAAAAUGUAGACAAAUCUGACUGGAACAUGGAGCUCAUGAAGGGGGCAAGAUCCAAUAAACUUGGAAAAGGAGCCUGGAGAGAGAUUUUGAAGGGCUUUUAAAAACAUGAUUGGAAGAGAGUAAAAGAAAACAAGAAGAGGGAAGAGAUACAUUUCUGGACAAUGUCAUUGUGUAAAUUCUCAAAAGAGUAUAUAUAGUAAGGAACUCAGCUACAUAAAUAAUCCUACUUCCACUUUGAAUCUUUAUUGAUUGACUUCUAAGCCGGGGCUGAACAUCUUUUGUGAGCAUCUACCUCCUUGUAUUAGUCUCAGUUGAUAUUUGUCAUUACAGGGUUGAUGAAUAAAUUUCUUAGUCUUACAUGUCUCAGGCAAUUUUGCAUGGUUACAUGGCAAUGCCAUGGAAAAGAAGGACCUUGAAAAAUACUUUGUUCUAUUGAAUCAAAUGGUUUGAUAGGCAACAACAACAAAAAUCAGCAUAAAAAAAACUGGAAUCUAUGCAGGAUUAGAGAAUGACUGAACAUUUAUGGUAUGUAAAUGCAAUGGAUGUUAUUGUGUUUUUAGAAAUAAUGGAAGAAGAUUUUGGAGGAUCCUGGGAAAUACAAACUGGUGUAGAAUGAAGGGAAUAGAAUAAGGAGAACAAUUUAUGCAAUGAUAGCAACUUUAUAAAGAAAAAUAACUCUGAAGACAAAAGAAUUCUGUUCUAAUCAACUGUCUCUCUUCCAAUGACCAACCAUAAAUCUAGAAAAUCUAUGAUGAAGCAUUCUAUUUACCUCUUGGUGGAGUUGAUGAACUGCAGAAAGAGAUACAUACUUUUUGACAUAGCUAUGGUAUCAAUUUAUUUUGCUUUUCUAUAUAUAUUUGUUAAAAAGUAUUUUCACUCUGCUUUGGGGAAGAGGGAAUGAGAGAGGUUAGCAAUAGUGAUGCCAAAUCAAUCUUGAAAGAAUCAAGGAACAUUUAUAAUGCAAAAAGAGAUCAGAAGUUCCAAAAGAAUCACAGAUAAGCAGGAUGGUUUUGAAAGUUAAUGUGUUAAAUUUGUUAUAUUUUUAAAGUAUGAAAUAAAAGUUCAUUAUUUCAUAUAUGAUCUUUUGGGGGGGUUUCUGUAUAUAUUAAGAUGUUCUUUAUGUGAGUAUUUAAGGUUUAUAAUUUAAAAUAAUUUUAAAGAAAAAACAAACAAGGAAUAAGCAUAAUAGGAUUCAUAAUCACUCAAAAGAAUUUAGCCUACCUGUAUACACAGGAAAAACAAAGUAGAGAAAAAUGGUCAUUGUCUAGACCAUAAUAUACAAUUAAAGGGACAAUCUGUAGAGUCUAUCAGUUUCUCUCUCUCUUUAUGUGUGUGUAGAUAGAUAGAUAGAUAGAUAGAUAGAUAGAUAGAUAGAUAGAUAGAUAUCUUGGACAAACA
This is a long non-coding RNA of Monodelphis domestica (gray short-tailed opossum), 1582 nucleotides long. RefSeq lists it as uncharacterized. Lineage: Eukaryota; Metazoa; Chordata; Mammalia; Didelphimorphia; Didelphidae. The record is from RefSeq and is a predicted model, not a curated record.